GCACUUGGUGUGCUCACCUACUGUUCAGGGCUCCAGGAGUGGCAGGCAGUGGGAGCUGCUCAGAACCACAUCGCUCCCUCCAUAUUCUUUUGGUCAAGGCAGCCACGGUACACCUCCCCACCCUGGGUUCCAGAAGAGGAAACAGAAGCUCCAAGAAGUGAAAUCAUUUACAUCCUCCGAGGAACCCAGCUGAGAUUGGAACGUGGGACUGCCUUAAGCCUUUUAUCCCUUUCCAGCACAUGACCCUGCUCUCUCAAGGAUGGGGCUGUGCCCUCAUCGUCUGUCUCGUUGGUCUCUCUCCGCACCGGCACGACAAUGUGGAGAAAAGGGGUCUCGUGGCCGCUUUGCACCCAGAGCGCCCUUUGGGGGUCUGAAAUUUUCAUGUUUGAGUGAACUCUCCAUCACCGAAGGACCUGGAACAGUGCCUGGCAUGGAGAAGCAGCUCCACAAACCAAUGUCGAAAGACUGAAUAGCAUAACCCCAGUCUGCAACUCUUAGUCCUCGACAGCUUCAAAUUAUGCGAUUAUUGAGGAAUUUUUAAUGUAGAAGAUGCAUGUUAUUUAUAGAAUUUCAUUGAUAGGUCUGGGGAUUAUUAAUAUUUAUGUUGUAUUUAAAAUACGUGUGAUUUUUAUUUACACAAAACAUAACCACAAAAUUAGACUAUUACAAUCUGGGGAUCCCUGGGUGGCUCAGCGGUUUGGCGCCUGCCUUGGGCCCAGGGCAUGAUCCCCAGUCCCGGGAUCGAGUCCCGUGUCGGGCUCCUUGCGUGGAGCCUGCUUCUCCCUCUGCCUG
Molecule: long non-coding RNA, 792 nt
Organism: Canis lupus familiaris (dog)
Lineage: Eukaryota; Metazoa; Chordata; Mammalia; Carnivora; Canidae
Exons: 4
Source: RefSeq, a predicted model, not a curated record